UUUCUCUCAUAGUUGGAUUAUGUUCUUAAACCUUCCCUUCAUUUGUAUUAUAUUGCUUUUUACUAAUAAAAAAAGAAAAAAGAAGUUAUCGUUCUUAAAUGGUUAUUCAAAUAUCAUUCUUCUUUUUGAAGAUAUUGACCUCUUACCUGCUGGAUUGUGAAGACCGAUGCAAAUUGGCUUCGAAAUGAAAAAAACUAAAUGAUCUGCAAAGAAAACAAAUUAGUGAAGGAAAACAAAUUAAAACCAAAUUGCAAAAUAUUAAAACAAACUUCAAUCACAAAUCGCAAAAUUUUAGUCUAUUAGUGAAGGAAAACAAAUUAAUGGAUACCACUUGUUGAAGAAACUCCGAUCUUUGAAAUGAACAGACUGAUAGGAAAUUAAAAAUGCAGCGAAUAUAUAUAUGAGAUAACUUUUGUUCACUAUUUUUGAGUUUUGGUUUUUGGCUUUUUUUUUUUUUGUUUUUGCAGUAGGAAUGGGAAUUAAAUAGCAAAAAACUGAAAGAAAAAUUAAUAUUACAGAAAUAGUAAGAGAUUAAUUCAAGUAUGAAAAAUGGAAGAUAAUGAGCAAAGGUAUUUUUUGUUUAAGCUAAGAGCAAUAAACUCAGAGAUGGGUUUCAGGUAUUGAAGAACUAUGUUGGAGCAAAUGUAUUUUUUGUUUGGGUAUUGACUUGACUUGACUCAUUAGAUACGUGAAUAUGAACACAAAACAUAAUAAUUCAAUGCAAUCAGCGUAGUACUGUUAUCGUCUGCUACUGCAAGUGGAGCACAUGAUUCAUGAUUGCACAUUUUGUUAGUUGCAAAUUCAUAGCAACUUUAUUGCAAAUUAAUUUUGUUAGGUGCAACUUCA
This 846-nucleotide long non-coding RNA is filed under the name Medicago truncatula (barrel medic). RNAcentral's name for it is "long non-coding RNA (MTRU_LNC006872)". The record is from RNAcentral. Lineage: Eukaryota; Viridiplantae; Streptophyta; Magnoliopsida; Fabales; Fabaceae.